AUUUAAAUAAUUUAAUUAAAAUAUUGAUUUGUGGUAUCAAAAAUAUGAAUGAAAUUCAUUUUAAAUU
Molecule: transfer RNA, 67 nt
Filed under: Sucra jujuba
Lineage: Eukaryota; Metazoa; Arthropoda; Insecta; Lepidoptera; Geometridae
Description: tRNA-His
Source: RNAcentral